Molecule: small RNA, 170 nt
Filed under: uncultured Porphyromonas sp.
Lineage: Bacteria; Pseudomonadati; Bacteroidota; Bacteroidia; Bacteroidales; Porphyromonadaceae
Description: Bacteroidales-1 6S-Bacteroidales RNA suggested
Rfam family: Bacteroidales-1 6S-Bacteroidales RNA suggested
Source: RNAcentral
UCGGUUGGGAAACUCAUCGUACUAUAGUUGAAAACCGAGACAAACCGAGAUGCUAAUGGCGGGCUACAACGCCCCUCUCGAGGGACGUUCUCCUGGCGACAGGGGAUACAGUAGAUUACAAAGGUAUCGAGGAACUCAAAUCCUGUUUUUCGGAGUUUUCACUUAAUCUG